CACGUAGGGUGCGAGCGUUGUCCGGAAUUAUUGGGCGUAAAGAGCUCGUAGGCGGUGUGUCGCGUCGGCCGUGAAAACCUGCAGCUUAACUGUGGGCUUGCGGUCGAUACGGGCAUCACUGGAGUUCGGCAGGGGAGACUGGAAUUCCUGGUGUAGCGGUGAAAUGCGCAGAUAUCAGGAGGGAACACCCGGUGGCGAAGGCGGGUCUCUGGGCCGAUACUGACGCUGGAGGAGCG
This 236-nucleotide ribosomal RNA is filed under the name uncultured bacterium. RNAcentral describes it as "partial 16S ribosomal RNA". It matches the Rfam family "Bacterial small subunit ribosomal RNA", at positions 524 to 755 of the family's 1533-position model. The record is from RNAcentral.